CACACCGCUCGUCACACCAUGGGAGUCAGUUGCUCCAGAAACGGCUGCGCUAACCCGCAAGGGGGGCAGGUCUUUAAGGAGUGGCUGGUAACUGGGGUG
Molecule: ribosomal RNA, 99 nt
Filed under: uncultured bacterium
Lineage: Bacteria
Description: partial 16S ribosomal RNA
Rfam family: Bacterial small subunit ribosomal RNA
Source: RNAcentral